UUGCUGCAGGGGUAGAGGGAGGUGCUUGGCAAGAAUAGGACAUUGCGGUCAGAGUGGGAUAUCUGAAAUGGGUACUAUGGGAGUGACUGAGUUUCUUGAGAUCACAGAGUUCAAGUUGUAACUGAGGGAGCAGGUGGCUUAGGGUGAAGUGGAGGAAAUCACUAGGAAGCUCAGUGAGCAGAGUCAAGAUUGUUGGCUGGUUAAUCCAUGGGGCUAUUGUAUUCAGCUGGAUGAUUACAGCAGCUAAGGUGAGGAUGGAGAUUGUGCACAGGUGCUAACGUCUUCAAGGAGGACUUGGAGGUUGAAGCAGCAAGAGUGGUGAAGCUGCAUGAUAUGAAUCUCAAAGUUCCAGAAAAGGAUUUGGAUGGAGCUGUUGGAAACCAGGAGGAUACUAAUCCAACUUCUUAGCCCACUGCUUAAGUACUGGAGGCGUGAGAGGGAAAACAAACAAAAAAGCACCUUGCCUGAGUAGGAUAAAGGAGAAAUCAUGUUUACUGGGAACAUCGAGGUUUCAGUUCUGAUUAUUGUGCUUCAAGCAAUCUCUUCUUCUCAAGUUACUCCCACCACAUGGCCUAGUCAACUGCUACUGAGCUGGGAACCAGAAGACCCUAGCAAGGUCACUUGGCUAACAUCAGGAUUUAUGCUUCACUAGUGCCAAGAUUUGGAGUCUAACACCCUCUCUUGACAUCCACUUGGAGAAUAAUUGGUUCAAUAUCUUGGCACAUGAAAAAUAAAGAUCAUCCGGAAACAUUUUGUUUUCAGGAACAAGGAAACUCAGUAGUUUCUGGGUUAGAGAUAAAAUGGACAAUUUGCUCAGCCUGAAAACAGGGCUUUUAGUGGACAAAUUUUGACACUUAGAGCAUCAAGGGAAAACAAUGGUUAAUGUCAAUUGAAACAUUCCCCAUAUGUGAUAUAAGCUACAGUGUUGAAACAAAAAUGUGAAUUUUCACAGAAAAUAUGUGCUAAAAGUUAGUUAUUUUGCCCACGAGUUUCCAAUAUUGUCUCCAAAAGUACAUAAAAUGACCAACACAAAUUUUAUGAGUCCAAGAGUGGAGUUGUAGCAACCUCCUAAAAAUACAAGAUAUAGAAGUGUUUUUUUUCAAUAUAGCAAAAGAAGAGAUUUAGAUAGGCAUGUAGGGGGAAUUUUGCGUGGUGUAUCUGGUUUUGUUAUGUUUUCUCUACUGGAGCUCUGGUGGCUCAGCUUGGCUCUUAUUUGUAGACUACUGUAGAACUCGCAUUUUGAUUGCUUGGUCAGUGAUAUAUGGGAAGUCAUGAGUCACAGACUGGGUUGUCUGUGAAAAGAAGAAAGAAAGAAAAGAGAGAAGAGAAGAGAAGAGAAAAGAGAAAACAUGAACUGGGACCAAUUUUUGGAAAUGCCACAAGCCACGCUGUUAACAAUCAGCAUCUGUCUAAGCUGUCAGUUUACUGAAUGAAACAUUUCAUCAUUCUGGCUAUAUCCAAAAUCAAACUGGUGGCAAAUAUCUGCCCUUGACUGAUGGGCGAGACCUCGCUGGAGAAGCCUGGAGAUUCCCGACCCUCCCAUCUAUUUGGUGAUUGCCUGAUAAAGUGGUAGAAAAGGCCAGAAAUACUUUCCUUAAAUUGGCACAAAUUUGUAGAACAAUUUAUAGUCCAGAACCCUUUCCUUGUCACUCUGCUGUCCACCAUCAGGUCAAGGCUGGCCUCAACUUGGGACCACAUCUUGACUUUGCUCUUCCCCCUGACUCUUUACAGGUUUGUCCUGAAGCACACUUCCUCAAUAAAUCAUGUACACUCAAAUCCACCUCUCAGUCUCUGCUCUAAAAUUUCUGGGUGAUCCAGGAAAACUGUUACAGUUUGAAACCCUUUUGCUUGUGUUCCAGAGCCC
RNAcentral lists this long non-coding RNA (1864 nucleotides) under Equus caballus (horse). RNAcentral describes it as "lncRNA (ENSECAG00000055293.1)". The record is from RNAcentral. Lineage: Eukaryota; Metazoa; Chordata; Mammalia; Perissodactyla; Equidae.